AACGUAGGAGGCGAGCGUUAUCCGGAUUUACUGGGUGUAAAGCGCGUGCAGGCGGUUUACUAAGUUGGAUGUGAAAGCUCCUGGCUCAACUGGGAGAGGUCGUUCAAGACUGGUAGACUGGAGAGCAGUAAGGGAAGGUGGAAUUCCGGGUGUAGUGGUGAAAUGCGUAGAUAUCCGGAGGAACACCAGUGGCGAAAGCGGCCUUCUGGACUGCAUCUGACGCUCAGACGCGAAAGCUAGGGGAGCAAACGGGAUUAGAGACCCCGGUAGUCCUAGCUGUAAACGAUGUGAACUUGGCGUUGGUUGGGUAAAACCGAUCAGUGCCGGAGCAAACGCGAUAAGUUCACCACCUGAGGACUACGGCCGCAAGGUUAAA
Molecule: ribosomal RNA, 376 nt
Filed under: uncultured bacterium
Lineage: Bacteria
Description: bacterial SSU rRNA
Rfam family: Bacterial small subunit ribosomal RNA
Source: RNAcentral